CCAACAGUCUUUUUAAAGACUACAAAAAAAAACCAAGAAGAUUAC
Strongylocentrotus purpuratus (purple sea urchin) is the source of this 45-nucleotide non-coding RNA. The record is from Rfam. Lineage: Eukaryota; Metazoa; Echinodermata; Echinoidea; Camarodonta; Strongylocentrotidae.